This is a long non-coding RNA of Athalia rosae (coleseed sawfly), 5410 nucleotides long. RefSeq lists it as uncharacterized. NCBI's taxonomy places the organism in Eukaryota, Metazoa, Arthropoda, Insecta, Hymenoptera, Athaliidae. The record is from RefSeq and is a predicted model, not a curated record. The transcript has 9 exons.
AAACGCUGAGGUCACGAGGCUUAUCGUUAGCCCCGACGCGGCGUCGGUUACCAGUCUCAUUCGGCAGCUCACCUCGUAACGGUACGAAUUAUUUAGUUAGUUCACUGCGUUGCUAUCGAAAACGUAAUUAAGUUUCUUGACCAAAAAAGUUAGUUAAAUAAACCAUUCGUUGAACAAUAAUUCGUGACGCUAUCGAAUAAUAAUUACGAAAUAAAGACGACGAGCUCAGAUAUUACGCAGUUGGAAUAUCCGCGACUCGAUUCAACGUACGCUUCGCAACGAUCAAGGAGAUGGGGCCUUUGGAUGCGGAGAAAAACAAAUUACUAAUUGCGAUUAGGUAAGAUUAAAAAAAAAAAAAAUCAUCAUCCCUAACGCUGCCUCUGCUGACUCCUCGGAGAGGACUUCCCACGCAAUUCGAGGAUCAAAAGGACCCGAGGACGCCCACUGGUAUUCACGAUUUGUGGUGUUCUCCACUUUUCGUGAAACGAGGGGAAAAAUGGAAGAGAAAAGAAAAAAAAAGGAAUCGAAUGUAAAACGGUAUCGCAAAUAGGUGAUCGUCACGCCAUUCAGCCAGCUGCUCUAAGGCUGCCUAGGGACGCGAGAGAUACGAGGAGAGAAGAGGAAAGGAGAAAAUGGAGAACAAAGAGGAACUCAGUGAGUAACCGAUACGAGACAAGAAAAUAAAGGUGCAGCGGAUUGUUGCGCGCCAACGUGUUCUGCAGACUUUUCAAGUAAUGGCCGCAUUAUAAUAAUAUAUAUUUACGUUAUAUAUACGUAUGUAUGGCAAGUAAAGCUGCUGUUGCAAGAGAAAUGGCCGCAGCAGCCCCCCAGGCCACGUACGAGAAACAAUUCGUUUUGUCUUUCAUUUUUCUGAUCAAAGAAAGAGGGAUGAAAGGAAUCGAAGAGAAAAAUAAAAAGUGGAAUAGAAAAUAAAAAUUGAAUCAACCUUUUUUUCCAUAACCUGAAAUUUUUCACCGAGGUAAAAAAUUAUCUGUAAUACGGUUUAAAAACGCUCUUUCCAAAUUUUAGGAGAACGAAGAAAAAAAAAGAAAAAAAAAAGAAAUCAGCCACGAAAAUCACGGACAACAAUUUGAGUAGCGGUAUACUUGUGCACGGUUUAUUGGUCGAUGUGCUCCUCGGGUACAUCUUAUUACAGAGGGUGCGAAUUCUGGAGGUUUACGUCAACAAUAUCUCAGCUGAACCCUCGUCAAUCACCAGGAGUAGCUCGACCAUGGCAAUCCUGGUCCGAGUGACACAGGUCGAGUAAAGCAGACCUAUAGAUAUCACCUGUACCACCGAGCUUGGCGUCGAAAGAAAAAAGAAAAAGGUGAAAAAAAAAAAAAAAAAAGAAACCAAGUAAAGAAAUAUUGAGGACGCAACUACAGGAGCGUAGGAACGGGGGAGGGAACGGAGUAAAAAAAAAGAGUAGGCGAAGAAAUAGGGAGGCAGAUAGAUAGAGAGAGGAAGAGAGAAGGGGGGGAAAAAUAGAAAAACGAGAAAGAAGAAAGACACGAGAGAAAACCAAAAAAAGGUAAACUAAAAAUAAAAUAAAAUUAGCUUCCCGGCGCGAACUCUCCGGAGAGACGGAAACUCGGUCCACCCUCAUCCCUCCAUCAUCCCGCCACUCCAGAAUCUACCAACCUCCCUGGGAAAACCUCCGUCCCCGUAGUACUAUAUACACAUUUCUGUCUCCCUGGGGAUGGAUACCAGGUGACCUGUCACGCUCCACCGAUUAACCUCGCAAAAACAAUCCCGGGGACAUAUGCGUCCCAAAAGUUAACCCCGUUACUCGCCCCUCGCCCCCCUUAGCGAGCUUCUCCUUUUUCCGGAGAUGGUCGUAAGAAAAUCGCAGUAUAUCGUCAAAUUACUGCUGGCCCAAAGAAUUUUGCGGCUUUUCUUUUUUUUUUUUUUUUUCUUUUAUUCAUUCAUCGUUAGAUACUUUCACCUUUCUUAUAUUUUACAUGCGUACAUUUAUUUACGUGAUACACCAUAUGUACGUACGUACCGGCUGCGCAAAGAGCCGAUAUGAGACUUGAAUUCGCAGUGAAAAAUGAAUUUACAUCACCGUGUAACGUGAGGUGAUUUUUCAAAGGAAAGUAUAUACCCGUACGUAUGUACAUUGUGUGUGUAUAUAAUUUUUAUUUUUGCUUUUUUUCUCUUUUGAAUUAUUAAAAGCUCAUAGUACGUGAAUUUGCAUAGCUUGAUAACAUUUUCCUUCUGUAUACAGGUAUACGUAUUAUACCACACUUCUGUUUUACAUUUCUAUAGGUAUAUACCGACUUGCUUCGAGAAAAAUGAAAAAAAAAUAUCGGACAAAAGGGAAAUGGUUGCGAACAAAAUGUAUAAAAUAAAAUUAACAAAAAAAAAAAAAAAAAAAAACCAAGAAACGGACAGCCAAACAAAAUUAUAAAGUUAAUGAAAUGGGAAAAAAAAAAUCGUUCGGAAUAACACGACGACCCUCCGCCGUAAUACCUAAUUGAUUCGCGAAUUAUUAUUGUGAUAAAAACAUCAAUGAAAUGAAAAACGAGAAAGACAACGAAAAAAGAGAAAGAAAAUAGGUAAAUAUACCUUCUCGAUCUCCUGAUGUGGAAGUCUGGACAGCUCGGUUCGGAUGGAGGAAAUCAAGUUUAUCGGAUAAUCUCACCUUACAAAAUUCAACCCUUAUUUCGUCCCUCGAUAUUCUAUCUUAUUUUCGUUUACUUAUAUCCUUUAAACGUUACCCGCAUGGACCACUCGUUCCUCGCGAUCCUUUUGAUUUUUUUAUUUUUUUUCUUUUACCUUUUUGCUCGUUUUUAUUUCAAAAUGUGUACCGGCGCGUAGCCAAACAAAAUCCCGAGCUUCGGAUGCUGCUGCACUCCUGGAACGAGGGGACCGUAUGAAAAACAAAUUACGCGCGGGUUCGUACAAACGAAAUAUACGAAAUAUAAUUCUCACCUCGCGUGCGUAUCGGAGCGGUGAUUCGAUUUUGCAAAAAUUAAAAAAAAAAACAAGAAAAAAUAGAGGGAAAAAAACAAGGAGCGUUUGGACGGUCAGUUUUAUCUCCGCGGAACGGACGGGUCAAUUUAUGUCUGUGUAUAAUGGUACGGCAUGUACGUACGUCGAAUUGGCCAUAUCGAACUGUGCUAUCGCGUGAAUGAAUAAUUAAUAUAAAAUAAACGUAAUUGACGGUAAAACAUCCGCUCGGAAGCAAAAGCAAAAAACAAAGAAACGAAAAGGAUGACGCCCGAAGAGUAAUUGAAAAUAGGUAAUUGAAUAUGUAAAGUUUCGCGAGUAUAUCUAUUGUAUCGACGAAUCGCACGGUUUUAAUAUUUUUUUUCAAUUAGCAUCGCACCCUGUGGUGCAGACGAGAACCGGUUCGCAAUAUGUUUUUCGAAAAUUUCGCACGACGCGGUACGAAACGCGUCGCUCAACGCGGUGAAGAUUUUUUUCUCCUCUUCCAAUUUUCAAUUUACGAAGGAGAAAUCUUUUCUUCGAUCCAUUUCCCGACUCUCGAGUUACUCUUGUAUAAAAUCUCGUUUUCGUAAAUCAUUCAAUUAGAAUUCAACGAACUCUUUCAGCCGUUAUUUAUUAUAUUUUAAUGAAAAGUAAAAGAGAAAAUUCUCACAAUAAAAGUUUGUUUUUUUUUUUCUCCCGAAUCGCCAACUUAUAUUAUUCGUACGUACUAUAGUACCACGCGUACCGCGAUUCAACGAUUCGCGAUGAGAAAAAAUUAAAUGUGAAUAAAUAAACGAAGAAAAGAGGAACGUACAAAAAGUGUAAUGAAAAAAUUUCAAUAAACUUUUGAACGAACAGACGUAGGAACAUAGAGAACCGUACGAAGAACGGAAUUUUCAUACGGGUAGGCGGGUACUCUAAACGAAUGAAAACGAUGAAUGUCGAAAGAAAAGGAAAAAAACGAGGGUGGAAAUGUACACCGUUUAAUGCAGAGCGAUGCAGAGAGCGACGGAGGAGAUGAAAAACGAAAAAAGAGGAGUCGAUAUACCAUCGUUAUCACAUUCACUAUUAAAAAAAUGAUGAACGGAAAGAAUUACGUGAGGAAAAAUUUAUACAAAUGAUAUCUUAAUUUUCAUACACCCUCUCCUCUAUGAAUGGCCAUUAUAUACGCGUGCUUAAUUUUAUAUCCGACUGAAACAACGCGUUAUACAUUUAUGGAGAAAGGCAAUUUUUAUCGGGUAUUUUACACUUACCACCGCACCCGCGGAUGUACGUGAAUUUUCUAUCUUUCCGUUUCUUCUCUCUUUUUUUUCUCGAGACGAGGGUUUUACGGAUCGUAUUAUGAUUCUCUAAGUUUAUUCUAACGCUACGCUAAACGACGUGAAAUAUUUUUCGAUUAUUACGUAACUCCGUGAAAUUGACAACUAUGCAUGUGAUGUAAUUUAAAUGUAAUUGUUCCAUGGAAUAACUCUGCAGGGCGGAUGCGCGCACACCUGUGUACGUAUAUUUAUUGUAUGUAGAUACAGCAGACAUACAUACACGUGUGAUAUAAUUCUGCGUAGAGUUUACUCUGUUUUCUGUUCGGUAUUUAUACGUCGGAGCAUGGGUAUAUAUCGAACAAAAUGUAUAUUCGCGCAUCGCGGGGUGGUAUUGUGUCUAUGAUCCUGCCAUAUUAUUGUUGCGGUCGGUUUUCAUUGGGCGGCGAGGAUUCCACGUUCGUCCUUUUUCCCCAUUUUAUUCGUGCGAAUGACAAAAAAUCUCCCAUUCCACGCGAUACGGACGUAUACAUGGGCGUUAUACACACGAGGCAAGGGCAAGGAGGUUAUUCAACGGCGGGACUAACCUACUGGGACAGAAACGGACGUGCCAUGGGGGGUGAUACCGAGAAAAGCCGCAGACAUUUAUAUUCUACGGAAAAAUCGCUGUAACGUUACCACAACACCGGGACCGCCGCGAGGAUUCGGUUGCUCCUUUCUUUAUUUUUCCACGGCCGAGUUGAAUACAUGCAUAUCGAGGAAGGUUACUGUGAAUUUAAUGGCAAAUUAAUACCAAAGGAUGAUCGAACGUUGAAUCCACGAUGAAGAGCUGCUGAUUGAAUGAUUACACGAUGUCAAGAGUCAACGGUGGCAGAGCUUGAAUAAUAUAAAAAGUUACACGUGCUUCCAAAGAAAAGAAAAACAAGCUUCUGAAAUAAUUUUUUUUAAUUCAUAAAUAAUAUUAAUGAAAUUAAUAUUCUAGUAUAUGAAUUAAGCACUUAACGGACGAGUGGAAUGCAAAGUUGGAAAAAAACUAAAAAAGUCGUUCAAAGAGAGAAGACGAAUGAAUAUAUAAAUGAGAAGGUCUUUCGUCUUGGAUUCGACGGCAGUUCGGCUUCGGCGACAGAAGCGGCGACAUCGGGAGCGACAUCAGUAGCAAAGCGGGUUCCUUAGAGCGACGAUGGAGAGAGAGAGAACGAUGCCCAUUGCGCGAUGCAAGC